GACGAACGCUGGCGGCGUGCUUAACACAUGCAAGUCGAACGGGAGUAUAAAGAAAGCUUGCUUUUGAUAUACUUUAGUGGCGGACGGGUGAGUAACGCGUGAGGAGCUGUCCUGUACAGGGGGACAACAGAUGGAAACGUCUGCUAAUACCCCAUAAGCCUUUGGGUAAAAGGAGCAAUCCGGUACAAGAGGUACUCGCGUCCUAUCAGCUAGUAGGUGAGGUAACGGCUCACCUAGGCGAAGACGGGUAGCCGGCCUGAGAGGGCGAACGGCCACACUGGAACUGAGACACGGUCCAGACUCCUACGGGAGGCAGCAGUGGGGAAUCUUCCACAAUGGGCGAAAGCCUGAUGGAGCGACGCCGCGUGAGCGAAGAAGGCCUUCGGGUUGUAAAGACUCUGUCUGGAGGGACGAAGGAAGUGACGGUACCUCCGGACGGAAGCCACGGCUAACUACGUAGCCAGCAGCCGCGGUAAAGACUACGUAGA
This 488-nucleotide ribosomal RNA is filed under the name uncultured bacterium. Its description in RNAcentral is "bacterial SSU rRNA". It matches the Rfam family "Bacterial small subunit ribosomal RNA", at positions 28 to 531 of the family's 1533-position model. The record is from RNAcentral.